CGGAAUGGCAUAAGUUGGCGAAAGCCGCAGAUUUCUGCGUCUCUCGACUAAGCUGGGAUGGUGCCUCCGGGCGGGCAUCAAAUUUUGGUACCGCCAUGCGGAGGUUCGAAUCCUCCCGCCCCAGCCA
RNAcentral lists this transfer RNA (127 nucleotides) under Novosphingobium sp. SG707. RNAcentral's name for it is "tRNA-OTHER". The record is from RNAcentral. Lineage: Bacteria; Pseudomonadati; Pseudomonadota; Alphaproteobacteria; Sphingomonadales; Sphingomonadaceae.